UCAGCAUUUACCUGUAACGAUUCAGGACCCACCAAAGAGGGACCUGUGUGCUCCUAAGGACGAUUUCUAUUGUGUGUACUGCACUGGUGCUCAAGCUACAGCAAUAGGCAUAAACCUUGAGAAUCACAACAGAGUUGGCCUGGAUUUACCCGUUACUGUAAGGAAUGCGUGUGAUCACAACCGCCAUGACCAACCUCCAUCACAUGCCGGACCAUCAGGCUGCCUGACCCUGUAACCCUCCAUACCACAAUGCCAGCCCCUGAAAUAAAAGCUCAAUAAAAUAACA
This 286-nucleotide long non-coding RNA is filed under the name Oryctolagus cuniculus (rabbit). RNAcentral's name for it is "lncRNA (ENSOCUG00000030105.1)". Lineage: Eukaryota; Metazoa; Chordata; Mammalia; Lagomorpha; Leporidae. The record is from RNAcentral.